This 529-nucleotide ribosomal RNA is filed under the name uncultured bacterium. Its description in RNAcentral is "partial 16S ribosomal RNA". It matches the Rfam family "Bacterial small subunit ribosomal RNA", at positions 355 to 900 of the family's 1533-position model. The record is from RNAcentral.
UGGGGAAUAUUGGACAAUGGGGGCAACCCUGAUCCAGCAAUGCCGCGUGUGUGAAGAAGGUUUUCGGAUUGUAAAGCACUUUCGACGGGGACGAUGAUGACGGUACCCGUAGAAGAAGCCCCGGCUAACUUCGUGCCAGCAGCCGCGGUAAUACGAAGGGGGCUAGCGUUGCUCGGAAUGACUGGGCGUAAAGGGCGUGUAGGCGGUUUGUACAGUCAGAUGUGAAAUCCCCGGGCUUAACCUGGGAGCUGCAUUUGAUACGUGCAGACUAGAGUGUGAGAGAGGGUUGUGGAAUUCCCAGUGUAGAGGUGAAAUUCGUAGAUAUUGGGAAGAACACCGGUGGCGAAGGCGGCAACCUGGCUCAUAACUGACGCUGAGGCGCGAAAGCGUGGGGAGCAAACAGGAUUAGAUACCCUGGUAGUCCACGCUGUAAACGAUGUGUGCUAGAUGUUGGGUAACUUAGUUAUUCAGUGUCGCAGUUAACGCGUUAAGCACACCGCCUGGGGAGUACGGCCGCAAGGUUGAAAAC